CCUCCUCUUCUUGGCGGGGGUUAGGCUUGAGGUCCUGGUCCUUGUAGUGUAUGGAGGCAGAGGGAAAGGGUUUCUGCUCAGCGCCCCGUCUUCGGUGCUGACAGUUUCCAGUCCGCCGGUUCUAUCCUCAGGCGCCGGGACACUG
Phyllostomus discolor (pale spear-nosed bat) is the source of this 145-nucleotide small nucleolar RNA. RefSeq annotates it as small nucleolar RNA SNORA57. NCBI's taxonomy places the organism in Eukaryota, Metazoa, Chordata, Mammalia, Chiroptera, Phyllostomidae. The transcript has a single exon. The record is from RefSeq and is a predicted model, not a curated record.